Molecule: non-coding RNA, 319 nt
Organism: Xyrichtys novacula (pearly razorfish)
Lineage: Eukaryota; Metazoa; Chordata; Actinopteri; Labriformes; Labridae
Source: the annotation of a GenBank genome assembly
GGGUUGGAGCUAGGGUUACGGUUAGGGUUAGGGUUGGAGCUAGGGUUAGGGUUAGGGUUAGGGUUGGAGCUAGGGUUAGGGUUAGGGUUAGGGUUGGAGCUAGGGUUAUAGUUAGGGUUAGGGUUGGAGCCAGGCUUAGGGUUAGGGUUAGGGUUGGAGCUAGGGUUAGGGUUAGGGUUAGGGUUGGAGCUAGGGUUAGGGUUAGGGUUGGAGCUAGGGUUAGAGUUAGGGUUAGGGUUGGAGCUAGGGUUAGGGUUAGGGUUAGGGUUGGAGCUAGGGUUAGGGUUAGGGUUAGGGUUGGAGCUAGGGUUAGGGUUAG